Oncorhynchus kisutch (coho salmon) is the source of this 4601-nucleotide long non-coding RNA. NCBI's taxonomy places the organism in Eukaryota, Metazoa, Chordata, Actinopteri, Salmoniformes, Salmonidae. The record is from Ensembl.
AAAUAUUGAAUGAGUUGGACUGUGGGUUUAGCUGUAAGAGCUGUGAGAGACUCCUUUACCCUGCCAGCCUAAUAAUGAUAAUAUAUUAUAUGUCAUUUAGCAGACACUUUUAUACAAGAACAACUUACGGCAGUGUGUGUAUACAGUACAUUCUGGUAUGGGUGUGGCCCCAGCGUGAAUAGAGCAACCGGUCUAAGCAUUGCAAGGGCCAUGCUCUACCAACUGAGCCACACAGGACCACAGGCCUCUGGUUUCUCCCACUAAACCAAGACUGACAUGAGGCUGAUCAGACCUUCAUUAGGGAGGCAUUUUCUCCCUGUGAUUUCUAUUGAUGUGUCGGGGAGAAAAGACAAAUUGAGCCGCCGCCUGACCAGAGUACCAAUCGUUUCAGAAAAAGACAAUAAACGUCAUUGUAUUUCACUCUCUCUCUCUCUCUCUCCCUUACUUUUCCUAUCAUGCCUCUCCUUCUUCUGUAUCCUUACUUUUCCCAUCAUGCCUCUCCUUCUGUAUCCUUACUUUUCCCAUCAUGCCUCUCCUUCUGUAUCCUUACUUUUCCUAUCAUGCCUCUCCUUCUUCUGUAUCCUUACUUUUCCUAUCAUGCCUCUCCUUCUGUAUCCUUACUUUUCCCAUCAUGCCUCUCCUUCUGUAUCCUUACUUUUCCCAUCAUGCCUCUCCUUCUGUAUCCUUACUUUUCCCAUCAUGCCUCUCCUUCUGUAUCCUUACUUUUCCUAUCAUGCCUCUCCUUCUUCUGUAUCCUUACUUUUCCUAUCAUGCCUCUCCUUCUGUAUCCUUACUUUUCCCAUCAUGCCUCUCCUUCUGUAUCCUUACUUUUCCCAUCAUGCCUCUCCUUCUGUAUCCUUACUUUUCCUAUCAUGCCUCUCCUUCUGUAUCCUUACUUUUCCUAUCAUGCCUCUCCUUCUUCUGUAUCCUUACUUUUCCCAUCAUGCCUCUCCUUCUGUAUCCUUACUUUUCCCAUCAUGCCUCUCCUUCUUCUGUAUCCUUACUUUUCCUAUCAUGCCUCUCCUUCUUCUGUAUCCUUACUUUUCCUAUCAUGCCUCUCCUUCUGUAUCCUUACUUUUCCUAUCAUGCCUCUCCUUCUGUAUCCUUACUUUUCCUAUCAUGCCUCUCCUUCUUCUGUAUCCUUACUUUUCCUAUCAUGCCUCUCCUUCUGUAUCCUUACUUUUCCCAUCAUGCCUCUCCUUCUUCUGUAUCCUUACUUUUCCCAUCAUGCCUCUCCUUCUUCUGUAUCCUUACUUUUCCCAUCAUGCCUCUCCUUCUUCUGUAUCCUUACUUUUCCUAUCAUGCCUCUCCUUCUUCUGUAUCCUUACUUUUCCUAUCAUGCCUCUCCUUCUGUAUCCUUACUUUCCUAUCAUGCCUCUCCUUCUUCUGUAUCCUUACUUUUCCUAUCAUGCCUCUCCUUCUGUAUCCUUACUUUUCCCAUCAUGCCUCUCCUUCUUCUGUAUCCUUACUUUUCCCAUCAUGCCUCUCCUUCUUCUGUAUCCUUACUUUUCCCAUCAUGCCUCUCCUUCUUCUGUAUCCUUACUUUUCCCAUCAUGCCUCUCCUUCUGUAUCCUUACUUUUCCCAUCAUGCCUCUCCUUCUUCUGUAUCCUUACUUUUCCCAUCAUGCCUCUCCUUCUUCUGUAUCCUUACUUUUCCCAUCAUGCCUCUCCUUCUGUAUCCUUACUUUUCCCAUCAUGCCUCUCCUUCUUCUGUAUCCUUACUUUUCCCAUCAUGCCUCUUCUUCUGUAUCCUUACUUUUCCCAUCAUGCCUCUCCUUCUUCUGUAUCCUUACUUUUCCCAUCAUGCCUCUCCUUCUUCUGUAUCCUUACUUUUCCCAUCAUGCCUCUCCUUCUGUAUCCUUACUUUUCCCAUCAUGCCUCUCCUUCUUCUGUAUCCUUACUUUUCCCAUCAUGCCUCUCCUUCUUCUGUAUCCUUACUUUUCCUAUCAUGCCUCUCCUUCUGUAUCCUUACUUUUCCUAUCAUGCCUCUCCUUCUUCUGUAUCCUUACUUUUCCUAUCAUGCCUCUCCUUCUGUAUCCUUACUUUUCCCAUCAUGCCUCUCCUUCUGUAUCCUUACUUUUCCUAUCAUGCCUCUCCUUCUGUAUCCUUACUUUUCCUAUCAUGCCUCUCCUUCUGUAUCCUUACUUUUCCCAUCAUGCCUCUCCUUCUGUAUCCUUACUUUUCCUAUCAUGCCUCUUCUUCUGUAUCCUUACUUUUCCCAUCAUGCCUCUCCUUCUUCUGUAUCCUUACUUUUCCCAUCAUGCCUCUCCUUCUUCUGUAUCCUUACUUUUCCUAUCAUGCCUCUCCUUCUUCUGUAUCCUUACUUUUCCUAUCAUGCCUCUCCUUCUGUAUCCUUACUUUUCCUAUCAUGCCUCUCCUUCUGUAUCCUUACUUUUCCUAUCAUGCCUCUCCUUCUGUAUCCUUACUUUUCCUAUCAUGCCUCUCCUUCUGUAUCCUUACUUUUCCCAUCAUGCCUCUCCUUCUGUAUCCUUACUUUUCCUAUCAUGCCUCUCCUUCUUCUGUAUCCUUACUUUUCCUAUCAUGCCUCUCCUUCUGUAUCCUUACUUUUCCCAUCAUGCCUCUCCUUCUGUAUCCUUACUUUUCCUAUCAUGCCUCUCCUUCUUCUGUAUCCUUACUUUUCCCAUCAUGCCUCUCCUUCUGUAUCCUUACUUUUCCCAUCAUGCCUCUCCUUCUGUAUCCUUACUUUUCCCAUCAUGCCUCUCCUUCUGUAUCCUUACUUUUCCCAUCAUGCCUCUCCUUCUUCUGUAUCCUUACUUUUCCUAUCAUGCCUCUCCUUCUGUAUCCUUACUUUUCCUAUCAUGCCUCUCCUUCUUCUGUAUCCUUACUUUUCCUAUCAUGCCUCUCCUUCUGUAUCCUUACUUUUCCCAUCAUGCCUCUCCUUCUGUAUCCUUACUUUUCCUAUCAUGCCUCUCCUUCUGUAUCCUUACUUUUCCUAUCAUGCCUCUCCUUCUGUAUCCUUACUUUUCCCAUCAUGCCUCUCCUUCUGUAUCCUUACUUUCCUAUCAUGCCUCUUCUUCUGUAUCCUUACUUUUCCCAUCAUGCCUCUCCUUCUUCUGUAUCCUUACUUUUCCCAUCAUGCCUCUCCUUCUUCUGUAUCCUUACUUUUCCUAUCAUGCCUCUCCUUCUUCUGUAUCCUUACUUUUCCUAUCAUGCCUCUCCUUCUUCUGUAUCCUUACUUUUCCUAUCAUGCCUCUCCUUCUUCUGUAUCCUUACUUUUCCUAUCAUGCCUCUCCUUCUGUAUCCUUACUUUUCCUAUCAUGCCUCUCCUUCUGUAUCCUUACUUUUCCUAUCAUGCCUCUCCUUCUGUAUCCUUACUUUUCCCAUCAUGCCUCUCCUUCUGUAUCCUUACUUUUCCUAUCAUGCCUCUCCUUCUUCUGUAUCCUUACUUUUCCUAUCAUGCCUCUCCUUCUGUAUCCUUACUUUUCCCAUCAUGCCUCUCCUUCUGUAUCCUUACUUUUCCUAUCAUGCCUCUCCUUCUUCUGUAUCCUUACUUUUCCCAUCAUGCCUCUCCUUCUGUAUCCUUACUUUUCCCAUCAUGCCUCUCCUUCUGUAUCCUUACUUUUCCCAUCAUGCCUCUCCUUCUGUAUCCUUACUUUUCCUAUCAUGCCUCUCCUUCUUCUGUAUCCUUACUUUUCCCAUCAUGCCUCUCCUUCCCUCUUCUUUGCCGCUCUUCUUCUUUCAUUUUCCUUCCCCUUCUCUGUCAUUUACUUUCCUCCCUACUUCUCCCACCCUCCCCUGCUUUUCUCCCUCUACACCUUUCUUCCUGUAUGUGUGAGUUUGGCCUGCCUGCCUGGCUGUCUGCCUGCCUGGCUGUCUGUCUGCCUGCCUGGCUGUCUGUUUGAGCAGAAGUGAGGUGAGUGUUCUAGGUGGGCUUGGGAGAGGAGAGCAGCAUUAGUGUUUCUGCUUGCCUGUGCAAUAGAAUACAAUGCAGAUGGGAGGUGAAAAGCUCCCCAGUGACAAAGCCUCAAGGUGGGGGCCUGGGGGGGCCGUCACUCCUCUCCUCUGUGAUUGCCGUGGCGGGCAGGGCGGGCGGGGAUGGAGUGGGGCAGGGCUCUGACAAAGUGCAGGGAUUGAUGGAUGGACAGAGGCAGGGAGUGGAUGAGAGGAUGGAUGAGGGCAGAGGGGGAGUUUAACACUGGCAAACACAGAGAGACAGAGAGGAAUGACCUGCUUGGCUUUGCAGCCACUCACAGUCCCACAGCAAUUUAGCCCUGCUAUGGCUACUGGGCGAUUCCAUGCCAGCAUAGCCCCAAAACUAUUUUUGGUAUCUCCAAUUGUUCUGGCAAUUCUCACAUAGAAACUUCAUUGGGAGAAAGGAUGUUUGACAUGCUUUUUACAUUAUUAUCACAAACCAUUUACGAGAAAAUCAUGAUGAAAGUGGCCAUUUUAGGCCCUUUUUAGACCUAUAAAAGCCUCCUGUAAGACCUUAUGAUUUGUGAACCGUACAUGAUACAGACAACACCUUGUUGUCAUUAUACUCCUUAUAGUGGGCUCUAUCAUAUGGAGUAUGUCUACAUUCUGAAAUAAAACAUUUCAUAUUCAACAGUAAAACUAGGAAAAUGAAUAUCUCAUCCUUUAGA